Molecule: non-coding RNA, 73 nt
Organism: Ictidomys tridecemlineatus (thirteen-lined ground squirrel)
Lineage: Eukaryota; Metazoa; Chordata; Mammalia; Rodentia; Sciuridae
Source: Rfam
GGGGUUGUAGCUCAGUUGGUGGAGUGCUUGCCUCCCAUGCACAAGGCCCUGGGUUCAAUCCCCAGCACCCCCC